UACGUGGGGUGCAAGCGUUGUUCGGAAUUACUGGGCGUAAAGCGCGUGUAGGCGGUUCGCUAAGUUCGAUGUGAAAGCCCUGGGCUUAACCCAGGAACUGCAUUGAAAACUGGCGGACUUGAGUCCGGGAGAGGGUCGCGGAAUUCCUGGUGUAGAGGUGAAAUUCGUAGAUAUUGGGAAGAACACCGGUGGCGAAGGCGGCGCUCUGGACCGAGACUGACGCUGAGGCGCGAAAGCGUGGGGAGCAAACAGG
Molecule: ribosomal RNA, 253 nt
Filed under: uncultured bacterium
Lineage: Bacteria
Description: partial 16S ribosomal RNA
Rfam family: Bacterial small subunit ribosomal RNA
Source: RNAcentral